AUGAAGAAUGUCAAGUAUUAUUACUUGAAUUUCAACAUUAGCUGGAAAAAAAAAAAAAGAAAAAAAAAAACAGAAACCAUGAAGGUAAAAUUGUCUGCAGUGGAAACAGGAAGGAAAAAAAAGAAGAAGAAAAAAAAAAAAGGAAAGCCAAAACCACUGCUAGUGGCAGUGAGGUGUUUUCAGCUGUGGGUGAACUGUUCCAAGGACCGAGUGGAAGUCUUUCAUGACCAUCUGAGACUAACCACUACAGACGUCUCCUGCCAGGUUUUACAGAAGGAAAAACAAAGAAUAAAACGCAGAGCCCUAAUGGAGGGGAACUGAUGAGCGCAUCACCUCUGCUGAGCUCAUAAGAAUCUCCUGGUAAGAGCAGAAGCUUUUGUGGUUUUUGAAAAUAAAAAAGAUUCAAAUUAUCAUGUCUCAGAGCACCAGAAACCCCCAAGCUAAUAGGGGUGAAGACAGAGGGCUCUGGAUAAAUAGGUCAUUCCAUCAUCAUCAAUUAUUGUGUCUCUCACAAUUUUCUCUGCAGCCUGUCUCUCAGACACUAUCCCAGAUAGGGCACGGAGCUCCCUGCACUCCACGUUUCAGCCAGCGUGGCAACUUACUGCCUCCUUCAGAAGGCUUUGCUAUUUUAAAACCACAACACAGUGUUCCCUUGGCUUGAAAGGCGACCACCAGCUUAGCCACAGCGGAACUGUUGCAACACCCUGGGAGAUGAAAGCAGUUCAAAACGUUUGGUUUUAUUGGACAAAUUAAAAAUAACCAAACAAGUUCUUUCCUUUACUUCCUUUAACUCUGCCCCUGCCUGCUCCCCUCCUAGGCUUUUGAACUGUCUUCAGAAAUGCAAGAAUUUGACUGGGCAACCUGGAAUAAAGCCUUGCGUGAGAGAUGGAGGAACAGCGGUACAGCACUGCCUGCGGGCAGGAGCACCCAAAGCCCCGCUCUUCCCAGGGCACCCAGCCAGCACAGGGUGCAGGACUGAAGCCCCCAAUGGCCACUGCCCUCUGACUCAAGCUGGAUCCACAUCACUUGGUUUUUGUUUCUGCCACCUCUUCACAUCACAGUGUACCACAACUGAUGGGGCUCCUACAGCUGCAGGAGCCGCUGCCGUGCGGCUCAUCCAUCUCCAAAUUCCAGCCAGCACGCUUCGUGCAGCAUCAGGAGGGAGCAUGCAGGGAGCUGCAAGAGCAGGAGACGGAGACUAAAAGUGGAUGUUGACUUCAUCCCGUUGGUGUAGGCAGUGGAGGUGGGCGGCCACGAGCAGAGGGGAUGCGGAGGGGGCAAUGUUUAUUUCCAGCUGCACUCUUGUGCAGUUUCUCUCAGCGCUGAGAUUUUUGAGGAAACAGCGGGAGGUGGGGAGCAGGGGGAAUCAGAAAGGAAAAACGGAGAGUCCUUGCAGAAAAGCAGGCUAAGGAAGAGAAGUCAUCCUCAAUCCAGAGCUGAGAUUCUGCUCGUUGCUUCUUGUUUUAAAAAUACAACCAAAGCCAAGAUGCUGGAACUCCAUUUCUGAAUCGGACACAGCUGCGUCUGAUGGAAAUAAGGCCACUUGACAGAGGCACACCGUGACGUGGGCUUACAAAAGGAUGCUAAGAAGUGCUGCUCGCAGCAAGCCUGCCUCCUAAUAAUUGCAAGGUUUUCUUCACUCCCAGAGAUUAUGUAAUAUGUUCCUGCCUGCUGCUGACUCAUAUUUUUCAAAAUAUAUCUGGGAAGGAAAACAUAUGCACAUGUGUUUUAAUAUAUUUGUUUCCCUGCAUAUGUAGAGAUAAAUAU
Long non-coding RNA from Meleagris gallopavo (turkey), 1767 nucleotides. Lineage: Eukaryota; Metazoa; Chordata; Aves; Galliformes; Phasianidae. The record is from Ensembl.